RNAcentral lists this unclassified non-coding RNA (287 nucleotides) under uncultured fungus. Its description in RNAcentral is "partial contains small subunit ribosomal RNA, internal transcribed spacer 1, and 5.8S ribosomal RNA". The stretch from base 1 to 73 matches the Rfam family "Eukaryotic small subunit ribosomal RNA", at positions 1759 to 1831 of the family's 1831-position model. Lineage: Eukaryota; Fungi. The record is from RNAcentral.
GCAAACUUGGUCAUUUAGAGGAAGUAAAAGUCGUAACAAGGUUUCCGUAGGUGAACCUGCGGAAGGAUCAUCACAGAGUGGUCUGGUGUGGUGGUGGAGACACACACCAAUCUUGUGUGAACUGUUGUUCUGUGUGUGUGUGUUGGUGUGUGAUGUGCUAGGCACUCCCACCAGCAUCACAAAUCUCUCACCUCUUCAACCUUUGUGUCUAACAUAUGUACCACCCACAAUCUAAAACAACUUUUAACAAUGGAUCUCUUGGCUCUCGCAUCGAUGAAGAACGCAGC